GUGAUGGAUGGUGUGACAUGUGCUGCUGGCCCACAGAACCAGGGUCCCCUGGGAGUUGCGUGACCUACGGUGGAGAUCACAUUCCCAAGAGCCCUUUCAGUGGCAGCGUGGCAGCCAUGCUGGACCUUAGCAAGGUCAAGGUGACAGGCCUGGGAGACAGAGGAAGGUGGAGGAGCAGCUCCAGCAGAGCAACACCAGAGGUGUGUGGAGAGGACCGAAC
Long non-coding RNA from Oreochromis niloticus (Nile tilapia), 220 nucleotides. RefSeq lists it as uncharacterized. Lineage: Eukaryota; Metazoa; Chordata; Actinopteri; Cichliformes; Cichlidae. The record is from RefSeq and is a predicted model, not a curated record. The transcript is spliced from 3 exons.